UACGGAGGGUGCGAGCGUUGUUCGGAAUUACUGGGCGUAAAGAGUGCGUAGGCGGUUUGUCGCGUCUGCUGUGAAAACCCGAGGCUCAACCUCGGGCCUGCAGUGGGUACGGGCAGACUAGAGUGCGGUAGGGGAGAUUGGAAUUCCUGGUGUAGCGGUGGAAUGCGCAGAUAUCAGGAGGAACACCAAUGGCGAAGGCAGAUCUCUGGGCCGUAACUGACGCUGAGGAGCGAAAGCAUGGGGAGCGAACAGG
Molecule: ribosomal RNA, 253 nt
Filed under: uncultured bacterium
Lineage: Bacteria
Description: partial 16S ribosomal RNA
Rfam family: Bacterial small subunit ribosomal RNA
Source: RNAcentral